Molecule: ribosomal RNA, 497 nt
Filed under: uncultured bacterium
Lineage: Bacteria
Description: partial 16S ribosomal RNA
Rfam family: Bacterial small subunit ribosomal RNA
Source: RNAcentral
GAUGAGCGCUGGCGGCGUGCCUAAUACAUGCAAGUCGAGCGAACAGACGAGGGGCUUGCUCCUCUGACGUUAGCGGCGGACGGGUGAGUAACACGUGGAUAACCUACCUAUAAGACUGGGAUAACUUCGGGAAACCGGAGCUAAUACCGGAUAAUAUAUUGAACCGCAUGGUUCAAUAGUGAAAGACGGUUUUGCUGUCACUUAUAGAUGGAUCCGCGCCGCAUUAGCUAGUUGGUAAGGUAACGGCUUACCAAGGCAACGAUGCGUAGCCGACCUGAGAGGGUGAUCGGCCACACUGGAACUGAGACACGGUCCAGACUCCUACGGGAGGCAGCAGUAGGGAAUCUUCCGCAAUGGGCGAAAGCCUGACGGAGCAACGCCGCGUGAGUGAUGAAGGUCUUCGGAUCGUAAAACUCUGUUAUUAGGGAAGAACAAAUGUGUAAGUAACUAUGCACGUCUUGACGGUACCUAAUCAGAAAGCCACGGCUAACUACGUG